CCUACGGGAGGCAGCAGUAGGGAAUCUUCCACAAUGGACGAAAGUCUGAUGGAGCAACGCCGCGUGAGUGAAGAAGGGUUUCGGCUCGUAAAGCUCUGUUGGUAGUGAAGAACGAUAGAGGUAGUAACUGGCUUUUAUUUGACGGUAAUUACUUAGAAAGUCACGGCUAACUACGUGCCAGCAGCCGCGGUAAUACGGAGGUGGCAAGCGUUGUCCGGAUUUAUUGGGCGUAAAGCGAGUGCAGGCGGUUCAAUAAGUCUGAUGUGAAAGCCUUCGGCUCAACCGGAGAAUUGCAUCAGAAACUGGUGAACUUGAGUGCAGAAGAGGGGAGUGGAACUCCAGGUGUAGCGGUGAAAUGCGUAGAUAUAUGGAAGAACACCAGUGGCGAAGGCGGCUCUCUGGUCUGCAACUGACGCUGAGGUGCGAAAGCAUGGGUAGCGAACAGGAUUAGAUACCCGUGUAGUC
This 465-nucleotide ribosomal RNA is filed under the name uncultured bacterium. Its description in RNAcentral is "partial 16S ribosomal RNA". It matches the Rfam family "Bacterial small subunit ribosomal RNA", at positions 338 to 795 of the family's 1533-position model. The record is from RNAcentral.